CCGGUAAACGGCGGCCGUAACUAUAACGGUCCUAAGGUAGCGAAAUUCCUUGUCGGGUAAGUUCCGACCUGCACGAAUGGCGUAAUGAUGGCCAGGCUGUCUCCACCCGAGACUCAGUGAAAUUGAACUCGCUGUGAAGAUGCAGUGUACCCGCGGCAAGACGGAAAGACCCCGUGAACCUUUACUAUAGCUUGACACUGAACAUUGAGCCUUGAUGUGUAGGAUAGGUGGGAGGCUUGGAAGUGUGGACGCCAGUCUGCAUGGAGCCGACCUUGAAAUACCACCCUUUAAUGUUUGAUGUUCUAACGUUGACCCGUAAUCCGGGUUGCGGACAGUGUCUGGUGGGUAGUUUGACUGGGGCGGUCUCCUCCUAAAGAGUAACGGAGGAGCACGAAGGUUGGCUAAUCCUGGUCGGACAUCAGGAGGUUAGUGCAAUGGCAUAAGCCAGCUUGACUGCGAGCGUGACGGCGCGAGCAGGUGCGAAAGCAGGUCAUAGUGAUCCGGUGGUUCUGAAUGGAAGGGCCAUCGCUCAACGGAUAAAAGGUACUCCGGGGAUAACAGGCUGAUACCGCCCAAGAGUUCAUAUCGACGGCGGUGUUUGGCACCUCGAUGUCGGCUCAUCACAUCCUGGGGCUGAAGUAGGUCCCAAGGGUAUGGCUGUUCGCCAUUUAAAGUGGUACGCGAGCUGGGUUUAGAACGUCGUGAGACAGUUCGGUCCCUAUCUGCCGUGGGCGCUGGAGAACUGAGGGGGGCUGCUCCUAGUACGAGAGGACCGGAGUGGACGCAUCACUGGUGUUCGGGUUGUCAUGCCAAUGGCACUGCCCGGUAGCUAAAUGCGGAAGAGAUAAGUGCUGAAAGCAUCUAAGCACGAAACUUGCCCCGAGAUGAGUUCUCCCUGACUCCUUGAG
Molecule: ribosomal RNA, 908 nt
Filed under: Escherichia coli
Lineage: Bacteria; Pseudomonadati; Pseudomonadota; Gammaproteobacteria; Enterobacterales; Enterobacteriaceae
Description: partial 23S ribosomal RNA
Rfam family: Bacterial large subunit ribosomal RNA
Source: RNAcentral